This is a non-coding RNA of Nelumbo nucifera (sacred lotus), 1240 nucleotides long. The record is from RefSeq and is a predicted model, not a curated record. NCBI's taxonomy places the organism in Eukaryota, Viridiplantae, Streptophyta, Magnoliopsida, Proteales, Nelumbonaceae.
UUGCAUGACACACACGUGUUCGGACUUCACUCUCCAUCAUCUCUCGAAUCACUUCUCCCAUUUCUUCUUCGAAAUGCUUCUUCCCACCCUCCCCAUCUUCUCGUUGCCUAUCUCCGUUUCUCUCGGCCAACGCAUUCGGUAAGCAACUAGCAAUGGGUUUUAAUUUAGAGCCAACUAACAAUGGGUUUUAAUUUGUUGUAUGGGUGUUCUUCUGUGGGGUGUUUCCCAACUCCUUCAGAAUCGGAAACAACUUUGGGUUUUCUCUCUCUCUCUACAAGUCUUCACCGUGGCUUCAACUAAUGGGAGAAAGGUGAAACCGUUGCAUGUCUGUAAGGAUUGAUGUUUUUGUUUUAGGUUCCAACAGUUCCAUUGGUUGUUCAGCUCCAUUCAUGAUUGCUGAGCUUUCCAAUCUGGUUUAAAUUUAGAGCCAACUAACAAUGGGUUUUAAUUUGUUCCAGGGGUGUUCUUCUGUGGGGUGUUUCCCAACUCCUUCAGCAUUGGAAUCAACUUUGUGAUCUCUCUCUGUCUCCCCCCCCCCUCCCCUCUACAAGUCUUCACUGUGGCUUCACCUAAUGAGAGAAAGGUGAAACCGUUGCAUGUCUGUAAUGAUUGAUAUGGAAAGGGUAGCCUGGAUGUUAUUCGUGCAUUCAACUGAUGUGGGCAUGCAAAUGGAAUUGAAGUGGAUGACGUUAGGAAGAUGUGCUUUGUUGCAAGUUGAAGGGGCUAGAAAGGGCUAUCUACGUUGCUUGGCUUCAUUGGAACUCCUCAAUGGAGUUAUGAAUUCAAGUUCGAUCAGAAUUUUUAAGUUUGUUCUUUCAUGUUGAGCUAUGGUUGUAUCAUAAAGGUUAUCUACAUUGCUUGGUUCCAUUGGAACACCUUAAUUGAGUUAUGAAUUCAAUCUAAGGUUGGAUGGUCUUGAUCAAUAUUCAACCAUAUUUUCUCUUGAGCGAUAGUGAGGGACUUCUGGUUGAUUUGGCAAGAAAGAAACUCAAGGAUGUUCCAAAACAAAAGAUGUCAAGAGGAUGAAGUGUGGCAGAGAAUUGUGGAGUAACCGUACUCUUGGUCUGUGGUACAAUUGAAUAUUGAUAGUUCCUUUUAUAGGUCCCUUUUUUAUUUUGCAAGCCUGUUUGUAAUGGGAUGGUGGUCUGAAUGUUUUAUUUUUAUUUUUUUUGCAUUCUCCUUUGUUGUACAUUUCAAUCUUUUUCUUUGAAUGAAUGGAUACUUUACUUCUUCAUCGACA